AUCUGUACCCAGACCUCCAGGGAAUAUACCAGUUUUAGAACAUGGGGGAGCUGUAAAGAGCAAGGAGGAAAGACCGUAAGGGAUGGAUAAAAACAUUUUAAGUGAAGAAGGAGAGUUACUGGAAAAGGACCUUAAUCUGUGACCGGGAGGUAAAAUGGUUUUAGUUAGGCUGCUAGGGCAGCCUAGCGGUUAGUGUUGGGCCAGUAACCGAAAUGUCACUGGUUCAUGUACACAAGGUGAAAAAAAUCUAUCGAUGUCCACUUGAUCCUAAUCUGCACCAGAGGGCAUCAUACCACUAUGGUACGAUAAAAUAACACAUUUCACUGCACCUUUCCAGUGUAUGCAACAUCAACAAAAAGUGUGUGUUCUAUACCUGGGAACUCCAUCCUAAAUGUUUUAGUCAGGCUGCUACAGGUGUACUAUACCUGGGAACUCCAUCCUAAAUGUUUUAGUCAGGCUGCUACAGGUGUACUAUACCUGGGAACUCCAUCCUAAAUGUUUUAGUCAGGCUGCUACAGGUGUACUAUACCUGGGAACUCCAUCCUAAAUGUUUUAGUCAGGCUGCUACAGGUGUACUAUACCUGGGAACUCCAUCCUAAAUGUUUUAGUCAGGCUGCUACAGGUGUACUAUACCUGGGAACUCCAUCCUAAAUGUUUUAGUCAGGCUGCUACAGGUGUACUAUACCUGGGAACUCCAUCCUAAAUGUUUUAGUCAGGCUGCUACAGGUGUACUAUACCUGGGAACUCCAUCCUAAAUGUUUUA
Molecule: long non-coding RNA, 763 nt
Organism: Oncorhynchus keta (chum salmon)
Lineage: Eukaryota; Metazoa; Chordata; Actinopteri; Salmoniformes; Salmonidae
Exons: 3
Source: RefSeq, a predicted model, not a curated record